Molecule: ribosomal RNA, 278 nt
Filed under: uncultured bacterium
Lineage: Bacteria
Description: partial 16S ribosomal RNA
Rfam family: Bacterial small subunit ribosomal RNA
Source: RNAcentral
UGCCAGCCGCCGCGGUAAUACAGAGAGUGCAAACGUUGUUCGGAAUCACUGGGCUUAAAGAGCACGUAGGCGGCAUUGUAAGUGUGAGGUGAAAUCCCACGGCUCACCCUGGAACUGCCUCCAAAACUCCCAGUCUUGAGUUCGAGAGAGGUGAGUGGAACUCCGAGUGUAGAGGUGAAAUUCGUAGAUAUUCGGAAGAACACCAGUGGCGAAGGCGACCAUCUGGGACGGAACUGACGCUGAUGAACGAAAGCUAGGGUAUCAAACGGGAUUAGAUA